This 253-nucleotide ribosomal RNA is filed under the name uncultured bacterium. Its description in RNAcentral is "partial 16S ribosomal RNA". It matches the Rfam family "Bacterial small subunit ribosomal RNA", at positions 524 to 776 of the family's 1533-position model. The record is from RNAcentral.
GACAGAGGUGCCGAGCGUUAGGCGGAAUCACUGGGCUUAAAGCGUGUGUAGGCGGAUCGUUAAGUACCUUGUGAAAUCCCACGGCUCAACCGUGGAACUGCUUGGUAUACUGGCGAUCUUGAGCCAGCUAGGGGCUACCGGAACAAAUGGUGGAGCGGUGAAAUGCGUAGAUAUCAUUUGGAACGCCAAUGGUGAAAACAGGUAGCUGGGGCUGUGCUGACGCUGAGACACGAAAGCCAGGGGAGCGAACGGG